This 98-nucleotide non-coding RNA is filed under the name Enterococcus phoeniculicola. RNAcentral describes it as "Guanine sequence". It matches the Rfam family "Purine riboswitch aptamer". Rfam says of the family: Riboswitches are metabolite binding domains within certain messenger RNAs that serve as precision sensors for their corresponding targets. Lineage: Bacteria; Bacillati; Bacillota; Bacilli; Lactobacillales; Enterococcaceae. RNAcentral also lists the same sequence under 1 other name. The record is from RNAcentral.
UAUCUUUUUUAAAGUUUCACUUAUAUAUCGUCGAAAUAAGGUCGACAGUCUCUACCCAAUACCGUAAAUAUUGGACUAUAAGUAAAAAACGUGUUUUU